This 72-nucleotide transfer RNA is filed under the name Citrobacter freundii. RNAcentral's name for it is "tRNA-Phe". It matches the Rfam family "tRNA". Rfam says of the family: Transfer RNA (tRNA) molecules are approximately 80 nucleotides in length. Their secondary structure includes four short double-helical elements and three loops (D, anti-codon, and T loops). Further hydrogen bonds mediate the characteristic L-shaped molecular structure. tRNAs have two regions of fundamental functional importance: the anti-codon, which is responsible for specific mRNA codon recognition, and the 3' end, to which the tRNAs corresponding amino acid is attached (by aminoacyl-tRNA synthetases). tRNAs cope with the degeneracy of the genetic code in two manners: having more than one tRNA (with a specific anti-codon) for a particular amino acid; and 'wobble' base-pairing, i.e. permitting non-standard base-pairing at the 3rd anti-codon position. Lineage: Bacteria; Pseudomonadati; Pseudomonadota; Gammaproteobacteria; Enterobacterales; Enterobacteriaceae. The record is from RNAcentral. RNAcentral also lists the same sequence under 4 other names.
GGAUAGCUCAGUCGGUAGAGCAGGGGAUUGAAAAUCCCCGUGUCCUUGGUUCGAUUCCGAGUCCGGGCACCA